Molecule: ribosomal RNA, 347 nt
Filed under: uncultured bacterium
Lineage: Bacteria
Description: partial 16S ribosomal RNA
Rfam family: Bacterial small subunit ribosomal RNA
Source: RNAcentral
CCUACGGGUGGCAGCAGUGAGGAAUAGUGGUCAAUGGACGGAAGUCUGAACCAGCCAUGCCGCGUGCAGGAAGACGGCUCUAUGAGUUGUAAACUGCUUUUGUACAAGGGUAAACCUGAAUACGUGUAUGCAGCUGAAAGUACUGUACGAAUAAGGAUCGGCUAACUCCGUGCCAGCAGCCGCGGUAAUAUGGAGGAUCCAAGCGUUAUCCGGAUUUAUUGGGGUUAAAGGGUGCGUAGGCGGAUUGAUAAGUUAGAGGUGAAAUGUCCGAGCUUAACUCGGGAACUGCCUCUCAUACUGUUGCUCUAGUGCGUCGCUGCGGUAGGCGGCAUGUAUGGUGUAGCGGU